RNAcentral lists this long non-coding RNA (199 nucleotides) under Trifolium pratense (red clover). RNAcentral's name for it is "long non-coding RNA (TPRA_LNC002851)". The record is from RNAcentral. Lineage: Eukaryota; Viridiplantae; Streptophyta; Magnoliopsida; Fabales; Fabaceae.
UAACUGAAUAAUUAUAAGUUUUCAUUGAAUAAACUAGAACACGUAGUUACAUGGCUCAGAUAGUUUUAAAGAGAAUCAUCUAUAAUUCCUAAUCUGAUGAGAUUAGUUACUCAUAAUAAUAAUUGAUAUAACAAAAGAGUUAAGAAAAUUAUACAUGAAUAACCGAUGAAAAGUACGACGGCGAAACCCUAGAAUUGUN